AGUCGGACGGUAGCACAGAGGAGCUUGCUCCUCGGGUGACGAGUGGCGGACGGGUGAGUANUGUCNGGGGAUCUGCCCGAUAGAGGGGGAUAACCACUGGAAACGGUGGCUAAUACCGCAUAACGUCGCAAGACCAAAGAGGGGGACCUUCGGGCCUCUCACUAUCGGAUGAACCCAGAUGGGAUUAGCUAGUAGGCGGGGUAACGGCCCACCUAGGCGACGAUCCCUAGCUGGUCUGAGAGGAUGACCAGCCACACUGGAACUGAGACACGGUCCANACUCCUACGGGAGGCAGCAGUGGGGAAUAUUGCACANUGGGCGCAAGCCUGAUGCAGCCAUGCCGCGUGUAUGAAGAAGGCCUUCGGGUUGUAAAGUACUUUCAGCGGGGAGGAAGGCGAUGUGGUUAAUAACCGYNUUGAUUGACGUUACCCGCAGAAGAAGCACCGGCUAACUCCGUGCCAGCAGCCGCGGUAAUACGGAGGGUGCAAGCGUUAAUCGGAAUUACUGGGCGUAAAGCGCACGCAGGCGGUCUGUUAAGUCAGAUGUGAAAUCCCCGGGCUUAACCUGGGAACUGCAUUUGAAACUGGCAGGCUUGAGUCUCGUAGAGGGGGG
RNAcentral lists this ribosomal RNA (612 nucleotides) under Pantoea ananatis. RNAcentral's name for it is "bacterial SSU rRNA". It matches the Rfam family "Bacterial small subunit ribosomal RNA", at positions 60 to 661 of the family's 1533-position model. The record is from RNAcentral. Lineage: Bacteria; Pseudomonadati; Pseudomonadota; Gammaproteobacteria; Enterobacterales; Erwiniaceae.